RNAcentral lists this ribosomal RNA (272 nucleotides) under uncultured bacterium. Its description in RNAcentral is "partial 16S ribosomal RNA". It matches the Rfam family "Bacterial small subunit ribosomal RNA", at positions 524 to 794 of the family's 1533-position model. The record is from RNAcentral.
UACGGAGGGUCCGAGCGUUAAUCGGAAUUACUGGGCGUAAAGCGUGCGCAGGCGGUUUGUUAAGCGAGAUGUGAAAGCCCCCGGGCUCAACCUGGGAAUUGCAUUUCGAACUGGCGAACUAGAGUCUUGUAGAGGGGGGUAGAAUUCCAGGUGUAGCGGUGAAAUGCGUAGAGAUCUGGAGGAAUACCGGUGGCGAAGGCGGCCCCCUGGACAAAGACUGACGCUCAGGCACGAAAGCGUGGGGAGCAAACAGGAUUAGAUACCCGCGUAGU